Molecule: ribosomal RNA, 895 nt
Filed under: uncultured archaeon
Lineage: Archaea
Description: bacterial SSU rRNA
Rfam family: Archaeal small subunit ribosomal RNA
Source: RNAcentral
GCCGGACCCGACUGCUAUCAGAGUGGGACUAAGCCAUGCGAGUCAACAUAGCAAUAUGUGGCAUACGGCUCAGUAACACGUAGUCAACAUGCCCAGGGGACGUGGAUAACCUCGGGAAACUGAGGAUAAACCGCGAUAAGUCACUACUUCUGGAAUGGGUAAUGACUUAAAUCUAUAUGGCCCCUGGAUUGGACUGCGGCCGAUCAGGCUGUUGGUGAGGUAAUGGCCCACCAAACCUGUAACCGGUACGGGCUCUGAGAGGAGGAGCCCGGAGAUGGGCACUGAGACAAGGGCCCAGGCCCUAUGGGGCGCAGCAGGCGCGAAACCUCUGCAAUAGGCGAAAGCCUGACAGGGUUACUCUGAGUGAUUUCCGUUAAGGAGAUCUUUUGGCACCUCUAAAAAUGGUGCAGAAUAAGGGGUGGGCAAGUCUGGUGUCAGCCGCCGCGGUAAUACCAGCACCCCGAGUGGUCGGGACGUUUAUUGGGCCUAAAGCAUCCGUAGCCGGUUCUGCAAGUCUUCCGUUAAAUCCACCUGCUUAACAGAUGGGCCGCGGAAGAUACUAUAGAGCUAGGGGGCGGGAGAGGCAAGCGGUACUCGAUGGGUAGGGGUAAAAUCCGUUGAUCCAUUGAAGACCACCAGUGGCGAAGGCGGCUUGCCAGAACGCGCUCGACGGUGAGGGAUGAAAGCUGGGGGAGCAAACCGGAUUAGAUACCCGGGUAGUCCCAGCUGUAAACGAUGCAGACUCGGUGAUGAAUUGGCUUCAUGCCAAUUCAGUGCCGCAGGGAAGCCGUUAAGUUUGCCGCCUGGGGAGUACGGUCGCAAGACUGAAACUUAAAGGAAUUGGCGGGGGAGCACCACAAGGGGUGAAGCCUGCGGUUCAAUUGGAUUCAACGCC